Molecule: ribosomal RNA, 399 nt
Filed under: uncultured bacterium
Lineage: Bacteria
Description: partial 16S ribosomal RNA
Rfam family: Bacterial small subunit ribosomal RNA
Source: RNAcentral
CCUACGGGGGACAGCAGUGAGGAAUAUUGGUCAAUGGGCGCGAGCCUGAACCAGCCAAGUAGCGUGAAGGAUGACUGCCCUACGGGUUGUAAACUUCUUUUAUCAAGAAAUAAAGUGAGGCACGUGUGCCUUUUUGUAUGUACUUUAUCAAUAAGGAUCGGCCAACUCCGUGCCAGCAGCCGCGGUAAUACGGAGGAUCCGAGCGUUAUCCGGAUUUAUUGGGUUUAAAGGGAGCGUAGAUGGGUUGUUAAGUCAGUUGUGAAAGUUUGCGGCUUAACCGUAAAAUUGCAUUUGAUACUGGCAGCCUAGAGUACAGUUGAGGUAGGCGGAAUUCGUGGUGUAGCGGUGAAAUGCUUAGAGAUCACGAAGAACACCGAUUGCGAAGGCAGCUUACUAAAC